RNAcentral lists this unclassified non-coding RNA (271 nucleotides) under Helianthus petiolaris subsp. petiolaris. RNAcentral's name for it is "partial trnH-psbA intergenic spacer". The record is from RNAcentral. Lineage: Eukaryota; Viridiplantae; Streptophyta; Magnoliopsida; Asterales; Asteraceae.
CUCUACUAUUAUCUAGUAUUACUAUAUUUUUCCAUUAACAUAAAAAAGCAUAUUCUUUCUCAUUUUUAUUGAAUAAAUAAAAGUAAUAAAUAAGCAAAAUUUUCAUUUUUAUCUAGAAUUUAAAUUGUUAAAAAAAAAAACUUCAUAAAAGAUUAGGAAAAGUAAAAGUAUAUGAUAUAGAAACCUAUAAUAUAAAUGAAUACAAAUAAAAACAAACAAAUCGAACCAAAUUAUAAAAAGUACUUGUUAUUUUUAAAGUUUAAAGAAACUA